AUUGAACGCUGGCGGCAUGCCUUACACAUGCAAGUCGAACGGUAACGCGGGGCAACCUGGCGACGAGUGGCGAACGGGUGAGUAAUGCAUCGGAACGUGCCCAGAAGUGGUGGAUAGCCCGUCGAAAGCCGGAUUCAUACCGCAUGAGACCUGAGGGUGAAAGCGGGGUAUCGCAAGACCUCGAGCCUUUGGAGCGGCCGAUGUCAGAUUAGCUAGUUGGUGGGGUAAAGGCCUACCAAGGCGACGAUCUGUAGCUGGUCUGAGAGGACGACCAGCCACACUGGGACUGAGACACGGCCCAGACUCCUACGGGAGGCAGCAGUGGGGAAUUUUGGACAAUGGGCGCAAGCCUGACCCAGCCAUGCCGCGUGCGGGAAGAAGGCCUUCGGGUUGUAAACCGCUUUUAUCAGGGAAGAAACGCUCUGGGCUAAUACCCUGGGGUAAUGACGGUACCUGAAGAAUAAGCACCGGCUAACUACGUG
RNAcentral lists this ribosomal RNA (482 nucleotides) under uncultured bacterium. RNAcentral describes it as "partial 16S ribosomal RNA". It matches the Rfam family "Bacterial small subunit ribosomal RNA", at positions 29 to 507 of the family's 1533-position model. The record is from RNAcentral.